UACGUAGGGCGCAAGCGUUGUCCGGAAUUAUUGGGCGUAAAGAGCUCGUAGGUGGUUUGUUACGUCUGCUGUGAAAACCUUGGGCUUAACCCUGGGCCUGCAGUGGAUACGGGCAGACUAGAGGUAGGUAGGGGAGAAUGGAAUUCCCGGUGUAGCGGUGAAAUGCGCAGAUAUCGGGAGGAACACCGGUGGCGAAGGCGGUUCUCUGGGCCUUACCUGACACUGAGGAGCGAAAGCGUGGGGAGCGAACAGG
Molecule: ribosomal RNA, 253 nt
Filed under: uncultured bacterium
Lineage: Bacteria
Description: partial 16S ribosomal RNA
Rfam family: Bacterial small subunit ribosomal RNA
Source: RNAcentral